GACGAACGCUGGCGGCGUGCUUAAUACAUGCAAGUCAACGACUUUUAGAGUAGCAAUAUUCUAAAGGAAGUGGCGCACGGGUGAGUAACACGUAGGUAAUCUGCCUUCAGGACUGACACAACUCGUCGAAAGACGGGCUAAUAUCAGAUAAUGCAGCGGCUCCGCAUGGAGACAGUUGUUAAAGUACAAGCGCCUGAAGAUGAGCCUGCGGUCCAUUAGCUAGUUGGUAGAGUAAAGCCUACCAAGGCAACGAUGGAUAGCUGGUCUGAGAGGAUGAUCAGCCACACUGGAACUGAGACACGGUCCAGACUCCUACGGGAGGCAGCAGUAAGGAAUAUUGCUCAAUGCCGAAAGGCUGAAGCAGCAACGCCGCGUGAAGGAUGAAUGGCCUUUGGCCUGUAAACUUCU
Molecule: ribosomal RNA, 408 nt
Filed under: uncultured bacterium
Lineage: Bacteria
Description: bacterial SSU rRNA
Rfam family: Bacterial small subunit ribosomal RNA
Source: RNAcentral